CCUACGGGAGGCAGCAGUAGGGAAUAUUGCUCAAUGGGGGAAAGCCUGAAGCAGCAACGCCGCGUGUGGGAUGAAGGUUUUCGGGUUGUAAACUCCUUUUGUUAGGGAAGAUAAGUACAUUAUCUAACCAGAAAGCAGCUGCUAAUACCUUACCAGCAGCCGCGGUAAUACGGAGGGUGCAAGCGUUAGUCGGUAUUACUGGGCGUAAAGGGCGAGGAGGCGGGAUGGCAAGUCAGAUGUGAAAUCCCCGGGCUUAACCAUAGAAAGGCAUUUGAAACUGAUAGUCUAGAGUGUGUGAGAGGUAGGUGGAAUUCUAGGUGUAGGAGUAAAAUCCGUAGAGAUCAAGAGGAACACCGAUGGCGAAGGCGACCUGCUAGAACAUAACUGACGCUGAUGCGCGAAAGCGUGGGGAGCAAACAGGAUUAGAUACCCGGGUAGUC
Molecule: ribosomal RNA, 440 nt
Filed under: uncultured bacterium
Lineage: Bacteria
Description: partial 16S ribosomal RNA
Rfam family: Bacterial small subunit ribosomal RNA
Source: RNAcentral